AUGCAAGUCGAACGCUUCUUUUUCCACCGGAGCUUGCUCCACCGGAAAAAGAGGAGUGGCGAACGGGUGAGUAACACGUGGGUAACCUGCCCAUCAGAAGGGGAUAACACUUGGAAACAGGUGCUAAUACCGUAUAACAAUCAAAACCGCAUGGUUUUGAUUUGAAAGGCGCUUUCGGGUGUCGCUGAUGGAUGGACCCGCGGUGCAUUAGCUAGUUGGUGAGGUAACGGCUCACCAAGGCCACGAUGCAUAGCCGACCUGAGAGGGUGAUCGGCCACAUUGGGACUGAGACACGGCCCAAACUCCUACGGGAGGCAGCAGUAGGGAAUCUUCGGCAAUGGACGAAAGUCUGACCGAGCAACGCCGCGUGAGUGAAGAAGGUUUUCGGAUCGUAAAACUCUGUUGUUAGAGAAGAACAAGGAUGAGAGUAACUGUUCAUCCCUUGACGGUAUCUAACCAGAAAGCCACGGCUAACUACGUGCCAGCAGCCGCGGUAAUACGUAGGUGGCAAGCGUUGUCCGGAUUUAUUGGGCGUAAAGCGAGCGCAGGCGGUUUCUUAAGUCUGAUGUGAAAGCCCCCGGCUCAACCGGGGAGGGUCAUUGGAAACUGGGAGACUUGAGUGCAGAAGAGGAGAGUGGAAUUCCAUGUGUAGCGGUGAAAUGCGUAGAUAUAUGGAGGAACACCAGUGGCGAAGGCGGCUCUCUGGUCUGUAACUGACGCUGAGGCUCGAAAGCGUGGGGAGCAAACAGGAUUAGAUACCCUGGUAGUCCACGCCGUAAACGAUGAGUGCUAAGUGUUGGAGGGUUUCCGCCCUUCAGUGCUGCAGCUAACGCAUUAAGCACUCCGCCUGGGGAGUACGACCGCAAGGUUGAAACUCAAAGGAAUUGACGGGGGCCCGCACAAGCGGUGGAGCAUGUGGUUUAAUUCGAAGCAACGCGAAGAACCUUACCAGGUCUUGACAUCCUUUGACCACUCUAGAGAUAGAGCUUCCCCUUCGGGGGCAAAGUGACAGGUGGUGCAUGGUUGUCGUCAGCUCGUGUCGUGAGAUGUUGGGUUAAGUCCCGCAACGAGCGCAACCCUUAUUGUUAGUUGCCAUCAUUCAGUUGGGCACUCUAGCCAAAACUGCCGGUGACAAACCGGAGGAAAGUGGGGGAUGACGUCAAAUCAUCAUGGCCCCUUAUGACCUGG
Molecule: ribosomal RNA, 1188 nt
Filed under: Enterococcus faecium
Lineage: Bacteria; Bacillati; Bacillota; Bacilli; Lactobacillales; Enterococcaceae
Description: bacterial SSU rRNA
Rfam family: Bacterial small subunit ribosomal RNA
Source: RNAcentral